CAGGCCCCCGAGAAAGUUAAAUAAACAGAAUACGAAGAAGAAAGGAUGAAAAAAUAACAGGAAGUUUCGAAACUAACCUAGAUCGACCCCAGGAGCACAGGGGGACGGUGAGGACGAUGGAGGUCAACUCGGAGAACGUCUAAGGCCGGGAAGGAUGCUAGAGGAAACUGGAGCUCUCGGGGAAGAAGAGGGGAACCGAGGGAUUCUCUCAAGCAAAGUGAAACCCAUGAAGGAGGAGAACAUAUUUAAAUAGACCCCG
RNAcentral lists this long non-coding RNA (259 nucleotides) under Elaeis guineensis (African oil palm). RNAcentral's name for it is "long non-coding RNA (EGUI_LNC048076)". The record is from RNAcentral. Lineage: Eukaryota; Viridiplantae; Streptophyta; Magnoliopsida; Arecales; Arecaceae.